Amylocarpus encephaloides is the source of this 92-nucleotide non-coding RNA. Lineage: Eukaryota; Fungi; Ascomycota; Leotiomycetes; Helotiales. The record is from the annotation of a GenBank genome assembly.
GGCCAGAUGGCGGAGUGGUUAACGCGACAGCCUAGAAUACAAUUCGAUAGCUGUUUCCUUCGGGAGCGUAGGUUCGAGUCCUACUCUGGUCG